UACUUGCUUCGGCGGUACUAUACUAAAAUUGGAACGAUACAGAGAAGAUUAGCAUGGGCUAUGCCCAAGGAUGACACGCAUAAUCGUGAAGCGUUCCCUUAUUUG
This is a small nuclear RNA of Leptinotarsa decemlineata (Colorado potato beetle), 105 nucleotides long. The record is from RefSeq and is a predicted model, not a curated record. NCBI's taxonomy places the organism in Eukaryota, Metazoa, Arthropoda, Insecta, Coleoptera, Chrysomelidae.